AUACUUAGGGUGCGAGCGUUAAUCGGAAUUACUGGGCGUAAAGCGAGUGUAGGCGGCUGUAUAAGUCGGAUGUGAAAGCCCCGGGCUCAACCUGGGAAUUGCAUUCGAAACUGUACAGCUAGAGUUUGGUAGAGGUAAGUGGAAUUCAAGGUGUAGCGGUGAAAUGCGUAGAUAUCUUGAGGAACAUCAGUGGCGAAGGCGGCUUACUGGACCAAAACUGACGCUGAGGCUCGAAAGCGUGGGGAGCAAACAGGAUUAGAAACCCCGGUAGUCC
This 274-nucleotide ribosomal RNA is filed under the name uncultured bacterium. RNAcentral's name for it is "partial 16S ribosomal RNA". It matches the Rfam family "Bacterial small subunit ribosomal RNA", at positions 523 to 796 of the family's 1533-position model. The record is from RNAcentral.